Molecule: long non-coding RNA, 240 nt
Organism: Amblyraja radiata (thorny skate)
Lineage: Eukaryota; Metazoa; Chordata; Chondrichthyes; Rajiformes; Rajidae
Exons: 3
Source: RefSeq, a predicted model, not a curated record
AGCAUCCAUUCCUGCCCAUUAGGUUCCCAUUGUGAUGAAGAGCACGCAGGCAUGAAAAGUUGAAAAAGGAUUUAUUAAAGUUUAAAAUGUGAAUGACUCUUAAAAUAUAAGAACAAUUUAAAUGUUAAAGAUGAGAAUUAUUAAGUUAUUUCUUGUUAUGUCUCUUGUUGCUGCUCAUUGCGUCUUUAUGUCUCUUUGCUGUGGUCAAAUUUUAACAAAGAAAAUCUGAGAAUUUACCUC